CCUACGGUGUGCAGCAGUGGGGGAUAUUGCACAAUGGGGGGAACCCUGAUGCAGCGACGCCGCGUGGGUGAAGAAGCGCCUCGGCGCGUAAAGCCCUGUCAGCAGGGAAGAAAAUGACGGUACCUGAAGAAGAAGCCCCGGCUCACUACGUGCCAGCAGCCGCGGUACUACGUAGGGCGCAAGCGUUAUCCGGAUUUACUGGGUGUAAAGGGGGCGCAGACGGCGAUGCAAGCCAGGCGUGAGACCCCGGGGCCCAACCCCGGGACUGCACUUGGAACUGCGUGGCUGGAGUGCAGGAGGGGAAGGCGGAAUUCGUGGUGUAGCGGUGAAAUGCGUAGAUAUCAGGAGGAACACCGGUGGCGAAGGCGGCCUGCUGGAGUGCAACUGACGUUGAGGCCCGAAGGCGUGGGGAUCAAACAGGAUUAGAUACCCUUGUAGUC
RNAcentral lists this ribosomal RNA (440 nucleotides) under uncultured bacterium. RNAcentral describes it as "partial 16S ribosomal RNA". It matches the Rfam family "Bacterial small subunit ribosomal RNA", at positions 338 to 795 of the family's 1533-position model. The record is from RNAcentral.